GAUGAACGCUGGCGGCGUGCCUAAUACAUGCAAGUCGAGCGAACAGACGAGGAGCUUGCUCCUCUGACGUUAGCGGCGGACGGGUGAGUAACACGUGGAUAACCUACCUAUAAGACUGGGAUAACUUCGGUAAACCGGAGCUAAUACCGGAUAAUAUAUUGAACCGCAUGGUUCAAUAGUGAAAGACGGUUUUGCUGUCACUUAUAGAUGGAUCCGCGCCGCAUUAGCUAGUUGGUAAGGUAACGGCUUACCUAGGCAACGAUGCGUAGCCGACCUGAGAGGGUGAUCGGCCACACUGGAACUGAGACACGGUCCAGACUCCUACGGGAGGCAGCAGUAGGGAAUCUUCCGCAAAGGGCGAAAGCCUGACGGAGCAACGCCGCGUGAGUGAUGAAGGUCUCCGGAUCGUAAAACUCUGUUAUUAGGGAAGAACAAAUGUGUAAGUAACUAUGCACGUCUUGACGGUACCUAAUCAGAAAGCCACGGCUAACUACGUG
Molecule: ribosomal RNA, 497 nt
Filed under: uncultured bacterium
Lineage: Bacteria
Description: partial 16S ribosomal RNA
Rfam family: Bacterial small subunit ribosomal RNA
Source: RNAcentral